UGGGGCGUCGGCAAGUGGCAAGCCCCGGGAUUUUGGUUCCCGUAACGGAGGUUCGAAUCCUCCCGCCCCAG
This 71-nucleotide transfer RNA is filed under the name candidate division TA06 bacterium. RNAcentral's name for it is "tRNA-Gln". It matches the Rfam family "tRNA". From Rfam's summary of the family: Transfer RNA (tRNA) molecules are approximately 80 nucleotides in length. Their secondary structure includes four short double-helical elements and three loops (D, anti-codon, and T loops). The record is from RNAcentral. RNAcentral also lists the same sequence under 1 other name.